AUGACCCUACCCCGUUACAUCAUAAGGGAUUCCUCCUCCAGGGAUCAAGGUUAUGACCCUAACCUGUUAGGUAGUAGUGGAUUCCUCCCCCAGGGUUCAUGGGUGUCCUUUGGCAGGUUCUGUUUGCCCAGGUGCAUUGAAGCUAAUGAUGGAGCUCUUUUUUGGUUCUUGAAACAUGUAGGCCUGUGGGAAAACUUUUGGAUGUCCUGGUUGAAAUUGGUGAUUCCCGGCCACAGAGAAUCCUCUUCCACCCACACUGACAUCCAUUCCCAUCCAAGGUUUAUAUCCCUCUGUUCCCUUACUGAUGACAGCAUUACUUCCCUACAGCACUAAUCUUCUGAUGUCUUAAGGAAAGCUUAUAGUAAAACUUCAGAUGUUGAGAGCUGACUCCGUGUCCAGCAGCACAUCCGGGGCUUGGGCUGCAGAGAUGGCCAGGUCGGGGUACCAGCCACCAGUGCACGUCCAGUCAGAGGAUAAACAGCAUGUUAAACAAACAACAGUGAAGCCAAUACAGCAAGUUGUGUCCAAACUGCAAGUGCGUGUUUGGUAGGCGUUGGGCUCAGGUUCACAUUUCAUCUUUAAAACAGUUCUGAGAUUGCUGUUCUAGAAGAGGAAACUAUACAGGGUCAUUCACACAGCCAGUCGACGGUGAGCUAAAGCUUAAACACAGUUCUGGUUCUGGCAGGCGCCAAAGCCCAAGUGUUUUCAAUAAACUGCAUUCUGGAAGCCCA
RNAcentral lists this long non-coding RNA (731 nucleotides) under Vulpes vulpes (red fox). RNAcentral's name for it is "lncRNA (ENSVVUG00000011519.1)". The record is from RNAcentral. Lineage: Eukaryota; Metazoa; Chordata; Mammalia; Carnivora; Canidae.